CUUGUAAACAAUAGAAAUUUAUUUCUCAUGGUUCUUAAAGCUGAAUGUCCAAGAUCAGGGGGCCAGCAUGACCAGAUGAAGGCCCUCUUCUGGGUCGCAGACUUCUUUUAUCCUCAUGCAGCGGAGAAGGCUAGGGAGCUCGGUGGGGCCUCUUCUUUAAGGGCACUAAUCCCACUCAGGAGGGCUCCACCCUCAUGACCUAAUCACCUCCCAAACACCCCACCUCCUAACACCAUCAGCGUGGGGGUUAGGAUUCCAACAUACGAACAUAUGAGCACAAACAUUCAGACCAUAACAGUAUUAAACCUCAUGACUCCAUGAACAGCAAUUAUUUAAAUGUAGUUUUUUCAGGUAUUCAUGGUUUCAUCACUCACUAUAGCAUUCUGCUUUGAGUUUAUUCACUUAAUCCACAAAUACUGACCUGCCAAUAACCACAAGCUCACAUUCUCUGUCCUCCUGGAACAUACAUCCCACCCCACUCCACCCCCACAGAGCUAUCAGUUAUAUUGUGUUUGGCUGGAGUAUGCCCUUAAGUCUCUCUCUCGCUCUCUUUUUUUUUUUUUAAUUUCUUCUUGCCCCGGAAGGACACAGGCUCAUCCUUGACCUCCUCCAGGUCUUGGAUCAGAUGUCAGCUUCUCAGAAGCACUUCCAAAUCCACACCAUUUACAAGAACAUCUUCCUGCUCACAGCAUUCUCUGUGUUAUUCUCCUGCAGCACGCUUCUCACACUUGCAACAUCACAUCAUCACUGAAGGCAACAAGAAUUUUAAGACACACACUAUUAUGCUGUGUGUCACUAAAAGAUUUGAUAGCUGAGUCAUGGCCUUAAUGUUGCAUCGCACUGCUCAGGUUCCUUUGAGUAAGUCAGGGAUUUUACAGCCCUGGGUUGAAAUCCUUGGCAUGUGAUAGGCAUCCCUUUGCAAAUACAGCCAAUAAAGCAGUAUGCAGCCACAGUCACUUGGAGGUACCUGCCUUUCUUAAGAUGUCAAAAUAUCACUGGUUGUUUAUAAGAAAAUAAGGAAUUGUGGUCAUUCUUCCAAGAAUGAAUAUUCACUUCUUGGUUUCCAUGACUUUCGUCUUGAAAGCCAUAUAAAUUCAUCUAUUUACGUUUCAUUUGAUAAUCUCAUUUUAUGGGAAAAGAUAUGUGAUAUGCUCUUCCACAUUAAUUAGCACAACUCAGCUUCUCAUUUUUGACAACUACCAUAUGAUAUCACUUAUAUGUGAUAUCUUAAAUAUGACACAAAUGAACUGAUCUACGGAACAGAAGCAAACUCAGAUAUAGAGAACACAUUGUAGUUGCCAAGGAGAAGAGGGGUGGGGGAGGGAUGGACUGAGAGUCUGGGAUUAGCAGAUGCAAGUGAUUACACGUAGGAUGGAUAAACAAGAUCCUACCGUAGAGCACAGGGAACUAUAUUCAAUAUCCUGUGAUAAACCAUAAUGGAAAAGAAUAUGAAAAAGAUAUAUAUGUAUAACUGAGUCACUCUGCUGUAUAGCAAAAACUAACACAACAUUGUAAAUCAACUAUACUGCAAUAAAUCCACUUUUCAACAAAUAUUUUCAUUUCAAGUCUAAACAGCAUUUUGAGUCUUUAAGUUCUUAAUACCACAAACUCAUCCUCAGGUGACUGAUGAUCUUAGUGCUAGGUACAGUGGGAAACUGUUACCUUCUCUCCAUUUAAAAUUCACAGACUAACAAGCUGGGGGGAAGAAAGUCUCUUGAUCCAGGGAUCCAGGGAUCCUGAAAGCCUGGUCAGGAAAUAUCACCAAUCACAGCCUGGGUGCUCGACCCAGCAUUCAUCUCAUUCAUUCAGUAUGAUUCAGUGAGUUCCCAGUAGUGGCUCCAGGCACUGGGCCAGGCACAGGACAACAUGAGGCAUGUCCAGUAUCUGCGGGGAAAUAACUGAGCAAAUCUGUCAUUAGAAUGAAGUUAAAUUUUACUGAGCAGUUAUUCAUUCUCUCACACGGUGCUCUUUCCUAAGAAACAUAUCCACUCUAUUCAAAUAAUAAAAACCCUUUAUGGGGAAGGAACUGGUUGAACUGAGACACUGCCACAUGGAUUCCACUUCCCCAAAGGAUUCACUGAAGGCCCCUUUUCCAAAUUUCAGGUAGGAGCAUCCCAAAGUGCUUCCUCCAAGAACAGGGGAGAUUCCAACUUUUUUUCUUUUCUUUUUAGGGCUGCACUUGUGGCAUAGGGCAGUUCCCAGUCUAGGGGUUGAAUCAAACCACAGCUGGGACCUGCACCACAGCCACAGCAAUACCACAUCCAAGCCAUAUCUGUGACCUACACUUCAGCUUUUGACCCAAGGCAGCUACAGGCCUAUACCCCAGCCACAGCAACACUGGAUCCUUAACCUACUGAGCGAGGCCAGGUAUCGAACCUGAAUCCUCAUGGAUACUAGUCGGGUUCUUAACCCACUGAGCCAUAAAGGGAACUCUGCGAUUCCAACUUUCAAGGGCCUCACGCCCCAGUGCCCCACAGCCCUCGUAGGCAGACAAAUCUCUGCAACCUUUAACUAUGACAUGGAAUUAGAGCUUAGGGCCCAAAGAAAUAUAUAUUUAUAUAUAUUUAUACACACUCCCACACAUAUAUAUACAUAUAUAUUCUUUAAAUCGUUUUACCACAUUUUAGCACAUGCCCAGAUUUUGCCAUAAAAGAGUCUCAUUUUGCCACCCUCUGUACUUAAAAGCAGCCGAACCACAUGCAUUUCUUUGUGAUAAAUUUCUUUUGCUUAAUAUUGUAAGAUUCAUCCCUGUGGAUGAGUGGAGCUGUUGUGCUCUUCUUCCUGGUGUGGUACAGAAUUCUAUCUGAUGACUUUCUCACCAUAUAUUCAUCUAUCCUAUGGUGAUAAACACUGGCAUGUAUUCCCUUUCGGGUUGCUGUGAAUAUCCUUAUAUUUGGCUCCUGAUGCACAUACAGAGCAGUUUCUCAGGUACAUGUGGGGCAGGUAAAUCCCUAAAAUGGCCUCACAAGACUUCCCACCCUCAUCCCUGGGACCGUGGCAGUGAGGAAGCAGCACACUUGUGAUGAUAGUAAAUUACAUGGCCAAAGAGAUUUUGCACACAUAAUUACAGUCACUAAUCAGUUGGCUUGGAAGUUAACUCAAAAACUUGGGUCUGAGCUCCAGUGCUGCUGUUUUCUAGCUGUGUGACCUCAGGCAAGUUCCUUGACUUCUCUAUGCCUCAGUUUCCCCAUAGAGAAAUAGAGGGUAAUGAGAGGACAUCGCUCUUGGGUUGUAGUGAAGAUGAACAGAUAAAGAACUUGGCAGAAGUAACCUGCUACAAUUUCAGAAAACCAGAAGGAUCCUGAUGGAGCAGCCAGUAUGAUUGGGGUCACAGCUUCCAUCAUAGAGAAUUGGACUCUAUGGAACAGUAUGGAGGUUCCUUAAAAAGCUAUAUACAGAACUACCAUAUAAUUCAACAACCCCACUCUGGGGCAUAUAUCCAGAGAAAACCAUAAUUUGAAAAGGUCCAUGCACCCCAAUGUUCACAGCUGCACUGUUUGCAAUAGCCAAGACAUGGAAGCAACCUAGAUGUCUAUCAACAAAGGAAUAGAUAAAGAUGUGUAUACAACGGAAUACUACUCAGCCAUAAAAAAAGAAUGCAAUAAUGCCCUUUGCAGCAACAUGGUGGACCUAAGUGAAGGAAGUCAGACAGAGAAAGACAAAUAUCAUGAGAUCACUAAUACGUGGAAUCAAAAAUGAUACAAAAGAACUUUUUCACAAAACAGAAACUGACCCAAAGAUUUUGAAACCAAACGAGGAAACAUUUGGGGGAAAGGUAAGUUGUGAGUUUGGGAUUAACAUAUACACACUACUAUAUAUAUAAAAAAAGGAAUUCUCAUUGUGGCUCAACUGUAAUGAACUCAACUAACAUCCAUGAGGACGCAGAUUCGAUCUCCGGCCUUGCUCAGUGGGUUAGGGGUCCAGAGUUGCUGUGAGCUGUAGUAUAGACCACCAGCUAGAGCUCUGAUUUCAUCCCUAGUCUAGGAACUUCCAUAUGCCACAGGUGCAGC
Molecule: long non-coding RNA, 4010 nt
Filed under: Sus scrofa (pig)
Lineage: Eukaryota; Metazoa; Chordata; Mammalia; Artiodactyla; Suidae
Description: lncRNA (ENSSSCG00000053656.1)
Source: RNAcentral